Molecule: long non-coding RNA, 902 nt
Organism: Pogoniulus pusillus (Red-fronted tinkerbird)
Lineage: Eukaryota; Metazoa; Chordata; Aves; Piciformes; Lybiidae
Exons: 3
Source: RefSeq, a predicted model, not a curated record
UGGUCUAAGCAGUGCAGAGUCCAGGGGCAGAAUGACCUCCCUGCUCCUGCUGGCCACACCAUUCCUGAUGCAGGCCAGGAUGCCACUGGCUCUCUUGGCCACCUGGGCACACUGCUGGCUCAUGUUCAGGUGGAGAAGGAAAGGCUCUGGGAAUCAAAGCAUAGGAUAAUUUGGGAAGAAGGAGAAGGUGCAGCUCCACUCACUGGGCACAAGACAAAGACUGCAUCGUCUCUCCUUAAUCUACACAGACAAAGGUUGCCUUUGUUACCUGCUGGGACUCAGACUCGGGGCUUGGCCCAAAGCUCAGGGAUGCAAAUCAACAGACAGCACCUUGGAAACUCCAGGAGCUCAGCCUGGCUGCAGUGCCCAGGAGGCCUACAUCUUAUCUCAGCUGCCCCCAAGGGAAAAGGUUUCUGUGCAUUCAGGGUAUGGACCCCUGCGAGUGCAUGAGAACACACAGGGAGAUGCCCUGGGGAGCUGCAGCUGGACACUGAGCAGAGAACUGGAUAAAAAGGCAGGAGAAUGCCUGCCAGAGUGUGGCACUCCCAGCAGACCACCAGUGGCACUCCCAGCGGACCACCAGUGGCACUCCCAGCGGACCACCAGUGGCACUCCCAGCAGACCACCAGUGGCACUCCCAGCAGACCACCAGUGGCACCUCUGCCGGACCACCGAGGGCAGAGCAGCACCAGACCCCCAGAGCUGCACCACCCGAGGAAACUCUGGCAAACUCCACAGAAGGUCACCCCUGGGCCACGCACUCGUCUGUCUCUCUCCCCUCCACCUGCGACCGAGGGUAAUAUGAGCACAGCUCUUUUCCUCCCCUUCUCCUUCUUCUCUUCUCCAUCCUUCUCUUCAUCUCUCUCUCCCUUCUCCCCUCUCUGCCUCUGCUUUGCCCAACC